UACAGAGGGUGCAAGCGUUAAUCGGAAUUACUGGGCGUAAAGCGUGCGUAGACGGUUAUUUAAGUCAGGUGUGAAAGCCCCGGGCUCAACCUGGGAAUUGCAUUUGAGACUGAAUAGCUAGGGUGCGGAAGAGGGAAGCGGAAUUUCCGGUGUAGCGGUGAAAUGCGUAGAUAUCGGAAGGAACACCAGUGGCGAAAGCGGCUUCCUGGUCCAGCACCGACGUUCAGGCACGAAAGCGUGGGGAGCGAACAGG
This 253-nucleotide ribosomal RNA is filed under the name uncultured bacterium. RNAcentral's name for it is "partial 16S ribosomal RNA". It matches the Rfam family "Bacterial small subunit ribosomal RNA", at positions 524 to 776 of the family's 1533-position model. The record is from RNAcentral.